AACGUAGGACACAAGCGUUAUCCGGAGUUACUGGGCGUAAAGGGCGCGCAGGCGGCUUGGCAAGUCGAGUGUGAAAUACCUCAGCUUAACUGAGGAACGGCGCUCGAAACUACCUCGCUUGAGGGCGGGAGAGGGAAGUGGAACUCUCGGUGUAGGGGUGAAAUCUGUAGAUAUCGAGAGGAACACCGGUGGCGAAGGCGGCUUCCUGGCCCGUACCUGACGCUGAGGCGCGAAAGCGUGGGGAGCAAACAGG
RNAcentral lists this ribosomal RNA (253 nucleotides) under uncultured bacterium. Its description in RNAcentral is "partial 16S ribosomal RNA". It matches the Rfam family "Bacterial small subunit ribosomal RNA", at positions 524 to 776 of the family's 1533-position model. The record is from RNAcentral.